This 269-nucleotide ribosomal RNA is filed under the name uncultured bacterium. RNAcentral's name for it is "partial 16S ribosomal RNA". It matches the Rfam family "Bacterial small subunit ribosomal RNA", at positions 84 to 354 of the family's 1533-position model. The record is from RNAcentral.
UUUGAUGGCGACCGGCGCGCGGGUGAGUAACACGUAUCCAACCUGCCGAUGACUCGGGGAUAGCCUUUCGAAAGAAAGAUUAAUACCCGAUGGCAUAGUUCUUCCGCAUGGUAGAACUAUUAAAGAAUUUCGGUCAUCGAUGGGGAUGCGUUCCAUUAGCUUGUUGGCGGGGUAACGGCCCACCAAGGCAUCGAUGGAUAGGGGUUCUAAGAGGAAGGUCCCCCACAUUGGAACUGAGACACGGUCCAAACUCCUACGGAAGGCAGCAG